UUGACCUCGGAUCAUGUAAGGAUACCCGCUGAACUUAAGCAUAUCAAUAAGCGGAGGA
RNAcentral lists this ribosomal RNA (58 nucleotides) under Aureobasidium sp. 12b_co2. RNAcentral's name for it is "partial 28S ribosomal RNA". It matches the Rfam family "Eukaryotic large subunit ribosomal RNA", at positions 1 to 57 of the family's 3401-position model. Lineage: Eukaryota; Fungi; Ascomycota; Dothideomycetes; Dothideales; Saccotheciaceae. The record is from RNAcentral.